Molecule: ribosomal RNA, 468 nt
Filed under: uncultured bacterium
Lineage: Bacteria
Description: partial 16S ribosomal RNA
Rfam family: Bacterial small subunit ribosomal RNA
Source: RNAcentral
GACGAACGCUGGCGGCGUGCUUAACACAUGCAAGUCGAACGGAAAGACCCUGCUUUUGUGGGGUGCUCGAGUGGCGAACGGGUGAGUAACACGUGAGUAACCUGCCCUUGACUUUGGGAUAACUUCAGGAAACUGGGGCUAAUACCGGAUAGGAGCUCCUGCUGCAUGGUGGGGGUUGGAAAGUUUCGGCGGUUGGGGAUGGACUCGCGGCUUAUCAGCUUGUUGGUGGGGUAGUGGCUUACCAAGGCUUUGACGGGUAGCCGGCCUGAGAGGGUGACCGGCCACAUUGGGACUGAGAUACGGCCCAGACUCCUACGGGAGGCAGCAGUGGGGAAUAUUGCACAAUGGGCGGAAGCCUGAUGCAGCAACGCCGCGUGCGGGAUGACGGCCUUCGGGCUGUAAACCGCUUUCGCCUGUGACGAAGCGUGAGUGACGGUAAUGGGUAAAGAAGCACCGGCUAACUACGUG